Molecule: ribosomal RNA, 774 nt
Filed under: uncultured Neocallimastigales
Lineage: Eukaryota; Fungi; Neocallimastigomycota; Neocallimastigomycetes; Neocallimastigales
Description: partial large subunit ribosomal RNA
Rfam family: Eukaryotic large subunit ribosomal RNA
Source: RNAcentral
UACUAGAGUAGCACUCGCAUAUCAAUAAGCGGAGGAAAAGAAACUAACAAGGAUUCCCCUAGUAACGGCGAGUGAAGCGGGAAGAGCUCAAAUUUGAAAUCUUAAAGGGUUUCCCUUUACGAAUUGUAGUUUAAAGAAGUGUUUUCUGUUGAGGUUUUGGUAAAAGUUCUUUGGAAUAGGACAUCAUAGAGGGUGAGAAUCCCGUAUUUGACCUUUACUUUCAACUUUGUGAUACACUUUCAAAGAGUCGGAUUGUUUGGGAAUGCAGUCCAAAAUGGGUGGUAAAUUUCAUCUAAAGCUAAAUAUUGGCGAGAGACCGAUAGCGAACAAGUACCGUGAGGGAAAGAUGAAAAGAACUUUGAAAAGAGAGUUAAACAGUACGUGAAAUUGUCAAAAGGGAAGCGUUUGACACCAGUGUUGUUUUUCUGAAAAUCAAUUAAAGAACUGUUUAUGCUAAGCUGUUUAGACUUUAUCAGCUAUCUGUUUAGUUUUGAGCUUUUCUUUAAUGCACUUUUCAGUUAACAAGUCAACAUCAAUUUCUUUUGCUGUAAAAAAGCUUGAGGAAGGUGGCUUGAGAUUCGUCUUAAGUGUUUAUAGCCUCUUGCCUAUACAGUCGGAGAGAUUGAGGUCUGCAGCGUAGAUCCUUCGGGGCUAAAUGCAUUUGUGCUAAGUUAUAGCAUUUUAUAGACAACUUGUUGACUAUGAUUUGUCUUGUAGCUUACUCGCUUAUGUUAUUUUACCUACGCUUAGGAUGUUGAUCUACAGAGCGAGAGU